UACGUAGGAGGCAAGCGUUGUCCGGAAUUACUGGGCGUAAAGCGCGUGUAGGUGGUGGGACAAGUCUGCUGUGAAAGCGCCUGGCUUAACCGGGCGAGGUCGGCGGAAACUGUCCGACUAGAGGACGGUAGAGGAUGGUGGAAUUCCCGGUGUAGCGGUGAAAUGCGUAGAGAUCGGGAGGAACACCCGUGGCGAAGGCGGCCAUCUGGACCAGCACUGACGCUGAGGCACGAAAGCGUGGGGAGCAAACAGG
Molecule: ribosomal RNA, 253 nt
Filed under: uncultured bacterium
Lineage: Bacteria
Description: partial 16S ribosomal RNA
Rfam family: Bacterial small subunit ribosomal RNA
Source: RNAcentral